RNAcentral lists this ribosomal RNA (306 nucleotides) under uncultured bacterium. Its description in RNAcentral is "bacterial SSU rRNA". It matches the Rfam family "Bacterial small subunit ribosomal RNA", at positions 29 to 334 of the family's 1533-position model. The record is from RNAcentral.
CGCGAACGCUGGCGGCAUGGUUAAAACAUGCAAGUCGAACGCGAACGGGGCUUCGGCCCUUAUUAGAGUGGCGAAAGGGCGAGGAAUACGUUCUUAACGUGCCCCAAGGUCAGGGAUAGCUCGGGGAAACCCGGAAUAAUACCUGAUAAUCCCAUUUGAUUUCAUGAUUAGAUGGGCAAAGGCUUGCUGCCUUGGGAUCGGAGAACGUCCUAUCAGGUUGUUGGUGAGGUAAAAGCUCACCAAGCCUUAGACGGGUAGCGGGUGUGAGAGCACGAUCCGCCGCAUCGGGACUGAGACACUGCCCGG